UGUUCCCCGUUUCUUCUCUAGCCUGAGCCUGACACACUAUUCAAGCUAGACAUGGAUGUGGCUCGUAACACCUGAUGACCAAACGGAUCUACGGCACCAUCGAAUCCCAAACUUUAACUGCCAAAACUAUUGUUUUUCAUCCUGUAGUCCCUUUUAGAAUUACUAAACGUCCUUUUUUGGGCCGAGAUUUCCAGGAAUGCUUUCUCGGGGUUUGUGUGCAAGUAUUUCAAACCAUACAAAGCUAGAAAUUAGAAGUCAUUCCAUCUUUAUUAUCGUAGAGCCUUCCAGCAGUUCCUAAACCGGUCUAGUCGGAGCACGUUAUCAUUCUAGUUAGUUCUGAGUGAAUUCCCUCGGUAUGAUAAUUCUUUCAUCAGUUUGUUCCCCGUUUCUUCUCUAGCCUGAGCCUGACAAACUAUUCUAGCUAGACAUGCGUGUGGCUCGUAACACCUGAUGACCAAACGGAUCUAUAGCACCAUCGAAUCUCAAACUUUAACUGCCAAAACUAUUGUUUUCAUCCUGUAGUCCCUUUUAGAAUUACUAAACUUCCUUUUUUGGGCCGAGAUUUAGAGGAACGCUUUCUGGGGUUUGUGUGCAAGUAUUUCAAACCAUACAGACCUAAAAAUUAGAAGUCAUUCCAUCUUUAUUCCCCUAGAGCCUUCCAGCAGUUCCUAAACCGCUCUAGUCGGAGCACGUUAUCAUUAUUGUUAGUUCUGAGUGAAUUCCCUCGGUAUGAUAAUUCUUUCAUCAGUUUGUUCCCUGUUUCUUCUCUAUCCUGAGCCUGACACACUAUUCUAGCUAGACAUGGGUGUGGCUCGUAACACCUGAUGACUAAAUGGAUCGACGGCACCAUCGAAUCUCAAACUUUAACUGCCAAAACUAUUGUUUUUCAUCCUGUAGUCCCAUUUAGAAUUAGUAAACGUCCUUUUUUGGGCCGAGAUUUAGAGGAACGCUUUCUCGGGGUUUGUGUGCAAGUAUUUCAAACCAUACGGACCUAAAAAUUAGAAGUCAUUCCAUCUUUAUUCCCCUAGUCAUCAGGUAUACACUCAAGUCGGAGCACGUUAUCAUUCUUGUUAGUUCUGAGUGAAUUCCCUCGGUAUGAUAAUUCUUUCAUAAAUUUGUUCCCCGUUUCUUAUAUGGCCUGAGCCUGACACACUAUUCUAGCUAGACAUGGGUGUGGCUCGUAACACCUGAUGACCAAACGGAUCUACGGCACCAUCAAAUCUCAAACUUUAACUGCCAAAACUAUUCUUUUUCAUUCUGUAGUCCCUUCUAGAAUUACUAAACGUCCUUUUUUGGGCCGAGAUUUCCAGGAACGCUUUCUCGGGGUUUGUGUGCAUGUAUUUCAAACCAUACAGACCUAAAAAUUAUAAGUCAUUCCAUCUUUAUUCCCGUAGAGCCUUCCAGUAGUUCCUAAACCGCUCCAGUCGGAGCAUGUUAUCAUUCUUGUUAGUUCUAAGUGAAUUCCCUCGGUAUGAUAAUUCUUUCAUCAGUUUGUUCCCCGUUUCUUCUCUAGCCUGAGCCUGGCACACUAGUCUAGCUAGACAUGGGUGUGGCUCGUAACACCCGAUGACUAAAUGGAUCGACGGCACCAUCGAAUCUCAAACUUUAACUGCCAAAACUAUUGUUUUUCAUCCUGUAGUCCCAUUUAGAAUUACUAAACGUCCUUUUUUGGGCCGAGAUUUAGAGGAACGCUUUCUCGUGGUUUGUGUGCAAGAAUUUCAAACCAUACGGACCUAAAAAUUAGAAGUCAUUCCAUCUUUAUUCCCCUAGAGCCUUCCAGUAGUUCCUAAACCGCUCUAGUCGGAGCACGUUAUCAUUCUUGUUAGUUCUGAGAGAAUUCCCUCGGUAUGAUAAUUCUUUUAUCAGUUUGUUCCCCGUUUCUUCUCUAGCCUGAGCCCGACACACUAUUCUAGCUAGACAUGGGUGUGGCUCGUAACACCUGAUGACCAAACGGAUCUACGGCACCAUCGAAUCUCAAACUUUAACUGCCAAAACUAUUGUUUUUCAUCCUGUAGUCCCUUUUAGAAUUACUAAAUGUCCUUUUUUGGGCCGAGAUUUCCAGGAACGCUUUCUCAGGGUUUGUGUGCAAGUAAUUCAAACCAUACGGACCUAAAAAUUAGAAGUCAUUCCAUCUUUAUUCCCCUAGAGCCUUCCAGCAGUUCCUAAACCGCUCAAGUCAGUGCACGUUAUCAUUCUUGUUAGUUCUAAGUGAAUUCCCUCGGUAUGAUAAUUUGUUCAUCAGUUUGUUCCCCGUUUCUUCUCUAGCCUGAGCCUGACACACUAUUCUAGCUAGACAUGGGUGUGGCUCGUAACACCUGAUGACCAAACGGAUCUACGACACCAUCGAAUCUCAAACUUUAACUACCAAAACUAUUGUUUUUCAUCCUCUAGUCCCUUUUAGAAUUACUAAACGUCCUUUUUUGGGCCGAGAUUUCCAGGAACGCUUUCUCGGGGUUUGUGUGCAUGUAUUUCAAACCAUACAGACCUAAAAAUUAGAAGUCAUUCCAUCUUUAUUCCCGUAGAGCCUUCCAGCAGUUCCUAAACCGCUCCAGUCGGAGCAUGUUAUCAUUCUUGUUUGUUCUGAGUGAAUUCCCUCGGUAUGAUAAUUCUAUCAUCAGUUUGUUCCCCGUUUCUUCUCUAGCCUGAGCCUGGCAAACUAUUCUAGCUAGACAUGGGUGUGGCUCGUAACACCUGAUGACCAAACGGAUCUACGACACCAUCGAAUCUCAAACUUUAACUACCAAAACUAUUGUUUUUCAUUCUAUAGUCCCUUCUAGAAUUUCUAAACGUCCUUUUUUGGGCCGAGAUUUCCAGGAAUGCUUUCUCGGGGUUUGUGUGCAAGUAUUUCAAAUCAUACGGACCUAAAAAUUAGAAGUCAUUCCAUCUUUAUUCCCCUAGAGCCUUCCAGUAGUUCCUAAACCGCUCCAGUCGGAGCACGUUAUCAUUCUUGUUAGUUCAUAGUGAAUUCCCUCGGUAUGAUAAUUCUUUCAUCAGUUUGUUCCCCGUUUCUUCUCUAGCCUGAGCCUGGCACAGUAUUCUAGCUAGACAUGGGUGUGGUCGUAACACCUGAUGACUAAAUGGAUCGACGGCACCAUCGAAUCUCAAACUUUAACUGCCAAAACUAUUGUUUUUCAUCCUGUAAUCCCAUUUAGAAUUACUAAACGUCCUUUUUUGGGCCGAGAUUUAGAGGAACGCUUUGUUGGGGUUUGUGUGCAAGUAUUUCAAACCAUACGGACCUAAAAAUUAGAACUCAUUCCAUAUUUAUUCCCCUUGAGCCUUCCAGCAGUUCCUAAACCGCUCUAGUCGGAGCACGUUAUCAUUCUUGUUAGUUCUAAGAGAAUUCCCUCGGUAUGAUAAUUCUUUUAUCAGUUUGUUCCCCGUUUCUUCUCUAGACUGGGCCCGACACACUAUUCUAGCUAGACAUGGGUGUGGCUCGUAACACCUGAUGACCAAACGGAUCUACGGCACCAUCGAAUCUCAAACUUCAACUGCCAAAACUAUUGUUUUUCAUCCUGUAGUCCCUUUUAGAAUUACUAAACGUCCUUUUUUGGGCCGAGAUUUCCAGGAACGCUUUCUCGGGGUUUGUGUGCAAGUAUUUCAAACCAUACGGACCUAAAAAUUAGAAGUCAUUCCAUCUUUAUUCCCGUAGAGCCAUCCAGCAGUUCCUAAACCGCUCCAGUCGGAGCACGUUAUCAUUCUUGUUAGUUCUGAGUGAAUUCCCUCGGUAUGAUAAUUCUUUCAUCAGUUUGUUCCCCGUUUCUUCUCUAGCCUGAGCCUGACAAACUAUUAUAGCUAGACAUGGGUGUGGCUCGUAACACCUGAUGACCAAACGGAUCUAUGGCACCAUCGAAUCUCAAACUUUAACUGCCAAAACUAUUGUUUUUCAUCCUGUAGUCCCUUUUAGAAUUACUAAACGCCCUUCUUUGGGACGAGAUUUCCAGGAACGCUUUCUCGGGGUUUGUGUGAAAGUAAUUCAAACCAUACGGACCUAAAAAUUAGAAGUCAUUCCAUCUUUAUUCCCGUGGAGCCUUCCAGUAGUUCCUAAACCGCUCCAGUCGGAGCACGUUAUCAUUCUUGUUAGUUCUGAGUGAAUUCCCUCGGUAUGAUAAUUCUUUCAUCAGUUUGUUCCCUGUUUCUUCUCUAGCCUGAGCCUGGCACACUAUUCUAGCUAGACAUGGGUGUGGCUCGUAACACCUGAUGACUAAACUGAUCAAUGACACCAUCGAAUCUCAAACUUUAACUGCCAAAACUAUUGUUUUUCAUCCUGUAGUCCCAUUUAGAAUUACUAAACGUCCUUUUUUGGGCCGAGAUUUCCAGGAACGCUUACUCGGGGUUUGUGUGCAAGUAUUUCAAACCAUACUGACCUAAAAAUUAGAAGUCAAUCCAUCUUUAUUCCCCUAGAGCCUUCCAGCAGUUCCUAAACCGCUCCAGUCGGAGCACGUUAUCAUUCUUGUUAGUUCUGAGUGAAUUCCCUCGGUAUGAUAAUUCUUUCAUCAGUUUGUUCCUUGUUUCUUCUCUAGCCUGAACCUGACACACUAUUCUAGCUAGACAUGGGUGUGGCUCGUAACACCUGAUGACCAAACGGAUCUACGGCACCAUCGAAUCUCAAACUUUAACUGCCAAAACUAUUAUUUUUAAUCCUCUAGUCCCAUUUAGAAUUACUAAACGUCCUUUUUUGGGCCGAGAUUUAGAGGAACGCUUUCAUGCGGUUUGUGUGCAAGUAUUUCAAACCAUACGGACCUAAAAAUUAGAAGUCAUUCCAUCUUUAUUCCCCUAGAGCCUUCCAGCAGUUCCUAAACCGCUCCAGUCGGAGCAUGUUAUCAUUCUUGUUAGUUCUGAGUGAAUUCCCUCGGUAUGAUAAUUCUUUCAUCAGUUUGUGGCCCGUUUCUUCUCUAGCCUGAGCCUGACACACUAUUCUAGCUAGACGUGGGUGUGGCUCGUAACACCUGAUGACCAAACGGAUCUACGGCACCAUCGAAUCUCAAACUUUAAGUGCCAAAACUAUUAUUUUUAAUCCUGUAGUCCCAUUUAGAAUUACAAAAAUGUCCUUUUUUGGGCUGAGAUUUCCAGGAACGCUUUCGUGCGGUUUGUGUGCAAGUAUUUCAAACCAUACAGACCAAAAAAUUAGAAGUCAUUCCAUCUUUAUUCCCUU
This 5152-nucleotide long non-coding RNA is filed under the name Triticum aestivum (bread wheat). Its description in RNAcentral is "long non-coding RNA (TAES_LNC028121)". Lineage: Eukaryota; Viridiplantae; Streptophyta; Magnoliopsida; Poales; Poaceae. The record is from RNAcentral.